Molecule: ribosomal RNA, 1153 nt
Filed under: Salmonella enterica subsp. enterica serovar Kentucky str. 29439
Lineage: Bacteria; Pseudomonadati; Pseudomonadota; Gammaproteobacteria; Enterobacterales; Enterobacteriaceae
Description: bacterial LSU rRNA
Rfam family: Bacterial large subunit ribosomal RNA
Source: RNAcentral
GGUUAAGCGACUAAGCGUACACGGUGGAUGCCCUGGCAGUCAGAGGCGAUGAAGGGCGUGCUAAUCUGCGAUAAGCGCCGGUAAGGUGAUAUGAACCGUUAUAACCGGCGAUACCCGAAUGGGGAAACCCAGUGUGAUUCGUCACACUAUCAUUAACUGAAUCCAUAGGUUAAUGAGGCGAACCGGGGGAACUGAAACAUCUAAGUACCCCGAGGAAAAGAAAUCAACCGAGAUUCCCCCAGUAGCGGCGAGCGAACGGGGAGGAGCCCAGAGCCUGAAUCAGCAUGUGUGUUAGUGGAAGCGUCUGGAAAGGCGCGCGAUACAGGGUGACAGCCCCGUACACAAAAGCGCAUGUGCUGUGAGCUCGAUGAGUAGGGCGGGACACGUGGUAUCCUGUCUGAAUAUGGGGGACCAUCCUCCAAGGCUAAAUACUCCUGACUGACCGAUAGUGAACCAGUACCGUGAGGGAAAGGCGAAAAGAACCCCGGCGAGGGGAGUGAAAAAGAACCUGAAACCGUGUACGUACAAGCAGUGGGAGCCCCACCACCAAAGCAUUCUCUGGUGUUGAAGGCCCUGCAAAGCAGCAUCGCGGUGGCGGAGCGUCGUUUGCGACGCCCAACACACAAAACAAGCGGUGAGUGCUUUGGGGUGGGGUGACUGCGUACCUUUUGUAUAAUGGGUCAGCGACUUAUAUUCUGUAGCAAGGUUAACCGAAUAGGGGAGCCGGAGGGAAACCGAGUCUUAAUUGGGCGUUAAGUUGCAGGGUAUAGACCCGAAACCCGGUGAUCUAGCCAUGGGCAGGUUGAAGGUUGGGUAACACUAACUGGAGGACCGAACCGACUAAUGUUGAAAAAUUAGCGGAUGACCUGUGGCUGGGGGUGAAAGGCCAAUCAAACCGGGAGAUAGCUGGUUCUCCCCGAAAGCUAUUUAGGUAGCGCCUCGUGAAUUCAUCUCCGGGGGUAGAGCACUGUUUCGGCUAGGGGGCCAUCCCGGCUUACCAACCCGAUGCAAACUGCGAAUACCGGAGAAUGUUAUCACGGGAGACACACGGCGGGUGCUAACGUCCGUCGUGAAGAGGGAAACAACCCAGACCGCCAGCUAAGGUCCCAAAGUCAUGGUUAAGUGGGAAACGAUGUGGGAAGGCCCAGACAGC